GGAGUUCUCAUUUUUUUUUUAAACUUAAGGUACUCAUCCCUUCACCAAACUUAACUCUCAAGGACGUGAACUUGAAGUUGGUUGACUUUUAUGGUCACACAUCAGCUUAGUUCAAUCUAUCCGUGGGUUGACCCCUAGACUAACCCACGCUAAUUUGUCAUUUUGCGAAUUUCAUAAAUGGAUUUUUAGAUAUUUUUGAUAAAUACUUUCCAUGGUUUUUUACUUUCUUUUUUCCUGUUAAAUUUUCUAUUAUGUGAAAAUUUUUUCAUGCUUGCCAUAAGGAGCUGCUGACAGACUGAAAAAAGUGUCUUACCUGAUUUGUUCUAAGAUACCAAUUUUUUUUCAUGCAAUGGAAGAUUCUGAUAAUUCUGCAAUAACUUAAAGAAUGGCUAAAUAUUUACCGACAUAAUACAAAUCUAUGUUACGAUGGGGAUCCCAUGAUGUCUCUAGUUGCUCUUGUGAGUUUUGUUGCUUCGGCCAUUUUCACUCAUUUACCAGUUAUAUGCUAGAUAGGCAACUUGUUUAUUUUUCUGGCUUACAGGGGACUAAUAUGCUCUCACGGCUU
RNAcentral lists this unclassified non-coding RNA (565 nucleotides) under Hevea brasiliensis (rubber tree). Lineage: Eukaryota; Viridiplantae; Streptophyta; Magnoliopsida; Malpighiales; Euphorbiaceae. The record is from RNAcentral.